AGUGAACGCUGGCGGUAGGCCUAACACAUGCAAGUCGAACGGCAGCACAGUAAGAGCUUGCUCUUACGGGUGGCGAGUGGCGGACGGGUGAGGAAUACAUCGGAAUCUACUUUUUCGUGGGGGAUAACGUAGGGAAACUUACGCUAAUACCGCAUACGACCUACGGGUGAAAGCAGGGGAUAUUCGGACCUUGCGCGAUUGAAUGAGCCGAUGUCGGAUUAGCUAGUUGGCGGGGUAAAGGCCCACCAAGGCGACGAUCCGUAGCUGGUCUGAGAGGACGAUCAGCCACACUGGAACUGAGACACGGUCCAGACUCCUACGGGAGGCAGCAGUGGGGAAUAUUGGACAAUGGGCGCAAGCCUGAUCCAGCCAUACCGCGUGGGUGAAGAAGGCCUUCGGGUUGUAAAGCCCUUUUGUUGGGAAAGAAAAGCAGCAGGUUAAUACCCCGCUGUUCUGACGGUACCCAAAGAAUAAGCACCGGCUAACUUCGUG
Molecule: ribosomal RNA, 492 nt
Filed under: uncultured bacterium
Lineage: Bacteria
Description: partial 16S ribosomal RNA
Rfam family: Bacterial small subunit ribosomal RNA
Source: RNAcentral